This 498-nucleotide ribosomal RNA is filed under the name uncultured bacterium. RNAcentral's name for it is "partial 16S ribosomal RNA". It matches the Rfam family "Bacterial small subunit ribosomal RNA", at positions 30 to 523 of the family's 1533-position model. The record is from RNAcentral.
AUUGAACGCUGGCGGCAUGCCUUACACAUGCAAGUCGAACGGUAACAGGUCUUCGGAUGCUGACGAGUGGCGAACGGGUGAGUAAUACAUCGGAACGUGCCUAGUAGUGGGGGAUAACUACUCGAAAGAGUGACUAAUACCGCAUGAGAUCUACGGAUGAAAGCAGGGGAUCGAAAGGCCUUGUGCUACUAGAGCGGCCGAUGGCAGAUUAGGUAGUUGGUGGGAUAAAAGCUUACCAAGCCGACGAUCUGUAGCUGGUCUGAGAGGACGAUCAGCCACACUGGGACUGAGACACGGCCCAGACUCCUACGGGAGGCAGCAGUGGGGAAUUUUGGACAAUGGGCGAAAGCCUGAUCCAGCAAUGCCGCGUGCAGGAUGAAGGCCUUCGGGUUGUAAAUUGCUUUUGUACGGAACGAAAAGCCCCGGGUUAAUACCCUGGGGUCAUGACGGUACCGUAAGAAUAAGCACCGGCUAACUACGUGCCAGCCGCCGCGGUAA